ACAAUGGCCGGUACAAUGCGAAGCGAAGCAGUGAUGUGAAGCAAAUCGCACCAAAGCCGGUCCCAGUUCGGAUAAGAGGCUGAAACUCGCCUCUUUGAAGUCGGAAUCGCUAGUAAUCGCAGAUCAGCAUGUUGCGGUGAAUACGUUCCCGGGUCUUGUACACACCGCCCGUCAAACCAUGAGAGUCACCAACACCCGAAGUCCGCUUUGGCGGCCUAAGGUGGGGGAGAUGAUUGGGGUUAAGUCGUAACAAGGUAUC
This 259-nucleotide ribosomal RNA is filed under the name uncultured bacterium. Its description in RNAcentral is "partial 16S ribosomal RNA". It matches the Rfam family "Bacterial small subunit ribosomal RNA", at positions 1227 to 1500 of the family's 1533-position model. The record is from RNAcentral.